This 412-nucleotide ribosomal RNA is filed under the name uncultured bacterium. RNAcentral's name for it is "bacterial SSU rRNA". It matches the Rfam family "Bacterial small subunit ribosomal RNA", at positions 945 to 1359 of the family's 1533-position model. The record is from RNAcentral.
UUUAAUUCGACGCAACGCGCAGAACCUUACCACCUUUUGACAUGCCCGGACCACCUCAGAGAUGAGGCUUUCCCUUCGGGGACUGGGACACAGGUGCUGCAUGGCUGUCGUCAGCUCGUGUCGUGAGAUGUUGGGUUAAGUCCCGCAACGAGCGCAACCCUCGCUGUUAGUUGCCAUCAUUCAGUUGGGCACUCUAACAGUACUGCCGGAGUUAAUCCGGAGGAAGGCGGGGAUGACGUCAAGUCCUCAUGGCCCUUACAAGGUGGGCUACACACGUGCUACAAUGGCGACUACAGAGGGCUGCAACCCAGCGAUGGUGAGCCAAUCCCUAAAAGUCGUCUCAGUUCGGAUUGUUCUCUGCAACUCGAGAGCAUGAAGUUGGAAUCGCUAGUAAUCGCGGAUCAGCAUGCCG